RNAcentral lists this ribosomal RNA (1294 nucleotides) under Chryseobacterium gleum. RNAcentral describes it as "16S ribosomal RNA". It matches the Rfam family "Bacterial small subunit ribosomal RNA", at positions 76 to 1424 of the family's 1533-position model. Lineage: Bacteria; Pseudomonadati; Bacteroidota; Flavobacteriia; Flavobacteriales; Weeksellaceae. The record is from RNAcentral.
UCUUUCGGGAUCUUGAGAGCGGCGUACGGGUGCGGAACACGUGUGCAACCUGCCUUUAUCAGGGGGAUAGCCUUUCGAAAGGAAGAUUAAUACCCCAUAAUAUAUUGAGUGGCAUCACUUAAUAUUGAAAACUCCGGUGGAUAGAGAUGGGCACGCGCAAGAUUAGAUAGUUGGUGAGGUAACGGCUCACCAAGUCUACGAUCUUUAGGGGGCCUGAGAGGGUGAUCCCCCACACUGGUACUGAGACACGGACCAGACUCCUACGGGAGGCAGCAGUGAGGAAUAUUGGACAAUGGGUGCGAGCCUGAUCCAGCCAUCCCGCGUGAAGGACGACGGCCCUAUGGGUUGUAAACUUCUUUUGUAUAGGGAUAAACCUACUCUCGUGAGAGUAGCUGAAGGUACUAUACGAAUAAGCACCCGGCUAACUCCGUGCCAGCAGCCGCGGUAAUACGGAGGGUGCAAGCGUUAUCCGGAUUUAUUGGGUUUAAAGGGUCCGUAGGCGGAUCUGUAAGUCAGUGGUGAAAUCUCACAGCUUAACUGUGAAACUGCCAUUGAUACUGCAGGUCUUGAGUGUUGUUGAAGUAGCUGGAAUAAGUAGUGUAGCGGUGAAAUGCAUAGAUAUUACUUAGAACACCAAUUGCGAAGGCAGGUUACUAAGCAACAACUGACGCUGAUGGACGAAAGCGUGGGGAGCGAACAGGAUUAGAUACCCUGGUAGUCCACGCCGUAAACGAUGCUAACUCGUUUUUGGGCUUUCGGAGUUCAGAGACUAAGCGAAAGUAUUGACGGGGGCCCGCACAAGCGGUGGAUUAUGUGGUUUAAUUCGAUGAUACGCGAGGAACCUUACCAAGGCUUAAAUGGGAAAUGACAGGCUUAGAAAUAGGCUUUUCUUCGGACAUUUUUCAAGGUGCUGCAUGGUUGUCGUCAGCUGCGUGCCGUGAGGUGUUAGGUUAAGUCGUGCAACGAGCGCAACCCCUGUCACUAGUUGCCAUCAUUAAGUUGAUGACUCUAGUGAGACUGCCUACGCAAGUAGAGAGGAAGGUGGGGAUGACGUCAAAUCAUCACGGCCCUUACGCCUUGGGCCACACACGUAAUACAAUGGCCGGUACAGAGGGCAGCUACACUGCGAAGUGAUGCAAAUCUCGAAAGCCGGUCUCAGUUCGGAUUGGAGUCUGCAACUCGACUCUAUGAAGCUGGAAUCGAGUAGUAAUCGCGCAUCAGCCAUGGCGCGGUGAAUACGUUCCCGGGCCUUGUACACACCGCCCGUCAAGCCAUGGAAGUCUGGGGUACCUAA